Molecule: transfer RNA, 82 nt
Filed under: Aspergillus pseudotamarii
Lineage: Eukaryota; Fungi; Ascomycota; Eurotiomycetes; Eurotiales; Aspergillaceae
Rfam family: tRNA
About the family: Transfer RNA (tRNA) molecules are approximately 80 nucleotides in length. Their secondary structure includes four short double-helical elements and three loops (D, anti-codon, and T loops).
Source: Rfam by way of RNAcentral
GCCUCUAUAGCUCAGUGGGAGAGCGCUUGACUUGUACCUAAGUGAUAUCAAGAGGUCCGUGGUUCAAUCCCGCGUGGAGGCA